GACGAACGCUGGCGGUGUGCUUAACACAUGCAAGUCGAACGGUAAGGCCCUUUCGGGGGUACACGAGUGGCGAACGGGUGAGUAACACGUGAGUAACCUGCCCUCAUCUCUGGGAUAACAGUCGGAAACGGUUGCUAAUACUGGAUAUGAGCUUGCAAGGCAUCUUGUGGGUUGGAAAGAUUUUUUUGGUUGGGGAUGGACUCGCGGCCUAUCAGCUUGUUGGUGAGGUAGUGGCUCACCAAGGCUUCGACGGGUAGCCGGCCUGAGAGGGCGACCGGCCACAUUGGGACUGAGAUACGGCCCAAACUCCUACGGGAGGCAGCAGUGGGGAAUAUUGCACAAUGGACAGAAGUCUGAUGCAGCAACGCCGCGUGCGGGAUGACGGCCUUCGGGUUGUAAACCGCUUUCAAUUGUGACGAAGCUUUUUGUGACGGUAGCAGUAGAAGAAGCACCGGCUAACUACGUG
This 466-nucleotide ribosomal RNA is filed under the name uncultured bacterium. RNAcentral describes it as "partial 16S ribosomal RNA". It matches the Rfam family "Bacterial small subunit ribosomal RNA", at positions 28 to 507 of the family's 1533-position model. The record is from RNAcentral.